GUGUUCGGAUGUCGACGAUGGUUCUGUUCUGCCGCCGGUCAUCUCCAGCAAUCUACGAGAUAAAAUAACACCAGAGAACAUAUCAAUCACCGAGUUAGAACCAAAAAGCAAGUAUGGGCGAGACACAGCUGUCUCCGUCACAGUCGUCCCGCCCGUCCCGCCUGUCCCGCGCUAUCCGUUGACCGUCGCCUGGGCCCCGGAGAAGCUGUGCUUUAAUCUCGAUGAGGACAAAGCGGUUAAGCUAUUGAGGAUACAGAACAGCAACGCUCAUUCGAUCUACAUCCAAUGCUGCGGGCUCUGGGACAGCACGGCCCGCCUGGGAGCGAGCUGGCGGAGCUAUCCACGCAACAGGUUCUUGAUGGCACCAGGUCAGUGACA
Long non-coding RNA from Leguminivora glycinivorella, 378 nucleotides. RefSeq lists it as uncharacterized. NCBI's taxonomy places the organism in Eukaryota, Metazoa, Arthropoda, Insecta, Lepidoptera, Tortricidae. The record is from RefSeq and is a predicted model, not a curated record. The transcript has 3 exons.